CGCAUCGGACUGAUCGGGAUACUCAUCAAACAAAACUGAAAACCGAGAGCAAUUCCCUUGUCAAUGGCGGGCCACAUAAAUCUCCCGAGACUAAGCAGCAAUGCCGGUGGAUUACAGCGACAGGGAAUCCUCAAAUCUUAUUAUUUAAGGAGUUUUCAUCACAUCGCGGUGCGUU
Molecule: small RNA, 175 nt
Filed under: uncultured Prevotella sp.
Lineage: Bacteria; Pseudomonadati; Bacteroidota; Bacteroidia; Bacteroidales; Prevotellaceae
Description: Bacteroidales-1 6S-Bacteroidales RNA suggested
Rfam family: Bacteroidales-1 6S-Bacteroidales RNA suggested
Source: RNAcentral